ACUUACUAUGUAGACCAGGCUGGCCUUGAAUUCACUGAGAUCUGCCUGCCUCUGCUUCCCAAAUGCUGGGA
Molecule: microRNA precursor, 71 nt
Filed under: Nannospalax galili (Upper Galilee mountains blind mole rat)
Lineage: Eukaryota; Metazoa; Chordata; Mammalia; Rodentia; Spalacidae
Description: miRNA (ENSNGAG00000007524.1)
Source: RNAcentral